CUCCCUCCUUGUCAGUCCUCAUUCUUAAUUAAGCAACUGAGCAACUUUAUUGCAAACAAAAAAAAAAAAAAAGAGCUUAAGAAUAUUUGCUAAAGUUGAGAUUUAUGGCGACAAUUUCUGAUGCUUACAGACCUAGAUUUCAAAGUCACAAUUCAUGAAUUUGGAACUUCAAUAUUAAGUAACAUAAAAAAUUUGGAACUCUAGAGUUUCCUAGUCUACCAUGUUCCACGUUUAUGUUUAACUAAAUUUUCUUGUGCAGUUUCUGAGAUUUGAUUUUUGAAGUCGAGAAAAAUGUUUUGAUGUGAAGUAAACUGCUAUAAAUUCUAUCCUGCCUUAGGG
This 339-nucleotide long non-coding RNA is filed under the name Elaeis guineensis (African oil palm). RNAcentral describes it as "long non-coding RNA (EGUI_LNC021933)". The record is from RNAcentral. Lineage: Eukaryota; Viridiplantae; Streptophyta; Magnoliopsida; Arecales; Arecaceae.